AGUGAACGCUGGCGGUAGGCCUAACACAUGCAAGUCGAACGGCAGCACAGUAAGAGCUUGCUCUUACGGGUGGCGAGUGGCGGACGGGUGAGGAAUACAUCGGAAUCUACUUUUUCGUGGGGGAUAACGUAGGGAAACUUACGCUAAUACCGCAUACGACCUACGGGUGAAAGCAGGGGAUCUUCGGACCUUGCGCGAUUGAAUGAGCCGAUGUCGGAUUAGCUAGUUGGCGGGGUAAAGGCCCACCAGGGCGACGAUCCGUAGCUGGUCUGAGAGGAUGAUCAGCCGCACUGGAACUGAGACACGGUCCAGACUCCUACGGGAGGCAGCAGUGGGGAAUAUUGGACAAUGGGCGCAAGCCUGAUCCAGCCAUACCGCGUGGGUGAAGAAGGCCUUCGGGUUGUAAAGCCCUUUUGUUGGGAAAGAAAAGCAGCAGGUUAAUACCCCGCUGUUCCGACGGUACCCAAAGAAUAAGCACCGGCUAACUUCGUG
RNAcentral lists this ribosomal RNA (492 nucleotides) under uncultured bacterium. RNAcentral describes it as "partial 16S ribosomal RNA". It matches the Rfam family "Bacterial small subunit ribosomal RNA", at positions 29 to 507 of the family's 1533-position model. The record is from RNAcentral.